CCCCUUGCAAGCCGCGGCACAGCCCCUUAUCUUGGGGGUGUUCUUCGGAACUAUGGUGAUAAACGCGCUCGUAAUAAGCGGACUGGACCCGGGGGCGGUACCCGGCGGCUCCACCAAUACCCUUGCAGCAGGGAUCAUGGGGCCGAAACAGGAUCGACAGACGUCUAAAGGGGUUAUGCUUUCACCCGGUGAGAUACCACCGUUAUCGGUUCAAAACUUACAGUAGCCAAUACCAACGCUGCUCCCCGUGCUCUCGCCGCGUAAGCGGUAGCGAGACGGGAAACCUAAAGCCCCUGUGUGUAGCAACGCAGGGCGGGGCUCGGAGGCGCCUGGCAACAGAAGCCUCCACC
Molecule: transfer-messenger RNA, 350 nt
Filed under: Phaeovulum vinaykumarii
Lineage: Bacteria; Pseudomonadati; Pseudomonadota; Alphaproteobacteria; Rhodobacterales; Paracoccaceae
Description: Rhodobacter vinaykumarii Alphaproteobacteria transfer-messenger RNA
Rfam family: Alphaproteobacteria transfer-messenger RNA
About the family: Bacterial tmRNA, also known as 10Sa RNA or SsrA, is named for its dual tRNA and mRNA-like properties. Its role is to liberate the mRNA from a stalled ribosome. To accomplish this part of the tmRNA is used as a reading frame that ends in a translation stop signal.
Source: Rfam by way of RNAcentral